CCUACGGGAGGCAGCAGUGGGGAAUAUUGCACAAUGGGGGAAACCCUGACGCAGCGACGCCGCGUGAGUGAUGAAGUUCUUCGGUAUGUAAAGCUCUAUCAGCAGGGAAGAAAAUGAAGGUACCUGAUCAAGAAGCACCGGCUAACUACGUGCCAGCAGCCGCGGUAAUACGGAGGGCGCGAGCGUUAUCCGGAAUUACUGGGCGUAACGGGAGCGUAGACGGCAGGUCAAGUCUGGAGUGAAAUGCCGGGGCUCAACCUCGGAACUGCUUUUGAAACUGGGCAGCUGGAGUGCAUGAGAGGUAAGUGGAAUUCCAGGUGUAGGAGUGAAAUGCGUAGAUAUUAGGAGGAACACCAGUGGCGAAGGCGACUAACUGGACCGUAACUGACGUUGAGGCUCGAAAGCGUGGGGAGCAAACAGGAUUAGAUACCCCUGUAGUC
This 440-nucleotide ribosomal RNA is filed under the name uncultured bacterium. RNAcentral's name for it is "partial 16S ribosomal RNA". It matches the Rfam family "Bacterial small subunit ribosomal RNA", at positions 338 to 795 of the family's 1533-position model. The record is from RNAcentral.